RNAcentral lists this ribosomal RNA (301 nucleotides) under uncultured bacterium. RNAcentral's name for it is "partial 16S ribosomal RNA". It matches the Rfam family "Bacterial small subunit ribosomal RNA", at positions 509 to 807 of the family's 1533-position model. The record is from RNAcentral.
CAGCCGCCGCGGGAAUACGUAGGUGGCAAACGUUGUCCGGAAUUAUUGGGCGUAAAGGGCUCGCAGGCGGUUUCUUAAGUCUGGUGUGAAAGCCCCCGGCUCAACCGGGGAGGGUCAUUGGAAACCGGGAAACUUGAGUGCAGAGGAGGAGAGUGGAAUUCCACGUGUAGCGGUGAAAUGCGUAGAGAUGUGGAGGAACACCAGUGGCGAAGGCGACUCUCUGGUCUGUAACUGACGGUGAGGAGCGAAAGCGUGGGGAGCGAACAGGAUUAGAUACCCCGGUAGUCCCUGUCUCUUAUAC